Molecule: long non-coding RNA, 461 nt
Filed under: Olea europaea (common olive)
Lineage: Eukaryota; Viridiplantae; Streptophyta; Magnoliopsida; Lamiales; Oleaceae
Description: long non-coding RNA (OEUR_LNC010977)
Source: RNAcentral
ACCUGAUAGACUCGUACAAAUAUUGAUAAGAAUUGAGACAUUCUUAUAACAAUAUAAAUAUCAUCUAAUAAUCACAAUAUAAUCAUCUGUUGAUAUCUAUCUCAUAAUCUCGUCACAUCACAUAUGAUCCAUAAAAAAUGUACCCUCUGACUAAAAUCUGAAAUCCACCCCUCGGGCCAAGUACUUUUGCCACGGGCCUUUGACCCCCCUCCGUAAACGAAAGCGGGUCUUAAAAAUUUCUGAUAAUCAAUUCUAGAAUAUGACCAAGGUCCCUUAGUAAACUAUAUGUACAUGGUCAUGGCUCCCUUCAUCCCUAGUUGACCCCUCAGUGUAGUAUAGAACACAAUUAAGGCCCCUCAGUUAACUAGAAGAAAUAUAUAAUCACGAGUACUUUUCUGGUCGAUCUCAAAAUCACAUAUCAUAUUUCAAUUCACAAUGUACCGUACACAAUCUUUGAAAUC